This 449-nucleotide ribosomal RNA is filed under the name uncultured bacterium. RNAcentral's name for it is "bacterial SSU rRNA". It matches the Rfam family "Bacterial small subunit ribosomal RNA", at positions 330 to 793 of the family's 1533-position model. The record is from RNAcentral.
CCCAGACUCCUACGGGAGGCAGCAGUGGGGGAUAUUGCACAAUGGGGGAAACCCUGAUGCAGCGACGCCGCGUGAGUGAAGAAGUAUUUCGGUAUGUAAAGCUCUAUCAGCAGGGAAGAAAAAAGACGGUACCUGACUAAGAAGCCCCGGCUAACUACGUGCCAGCAGCCGCGGUAAUACGUAGGGGGCAAGCGUUAUCCGGAUUUACUGGGUGUAAAGGGAGCGUAGACGGCAAUACAAGUCGGAAGUGAAAUACCCGGGCUCAACCUGGGAACUGCUUUGGAAACUGUAUGGCUGGAGUGCUGGAGAGGUAAGCGGAAUUCCUAGUGUAGCGGUGAAAUGCGUAGAUAUUAGGAGGAACACCAGUGGCGAAGGCGGCUUACUGGACAGUAACUGACGUUGAGGCUCGAAAGCGUGGGGAGCAAACAGGAUUAGAUACCCCGGUACUG